UGGGGAAUUUUGCACAAUGGGGGAAACCCUGAUGCAGCGACGCCGCGUGAUUUAGAAGGCCUUCGGGUUGUAAAAAUCUUUUCUAUGGGAAGAAAAUGACAGUACCAUAGGAAUAAGGACCGGCUAAUUACGUGCCAGCAGCCGCGGUAAUACGUAAGGUCCGAGCGUUGUCCGGAAUCAUUGGGCGUAAAGGGUACGUAGGCGGGUAAGCAAGUUAGAAGUGAAAUCCUAUAGCUCAACUAUAGUAAGCUUUUAAAACGGAUCAUCUUGAGCUUUUGAAAGAAGAGUGUAAUUCCUAGUGUAGCGCUGAAAUGCGCUGAUAUUAGGGGGAUUACCGGUGGCGCAAACGAGUUUCUGGCGAUAACCUUACGCUGAGGUACGAAAGAGUGCGUAGCAAACAGG
This 402-nucleotide ribosomal RNA is filed under the name bacterium. RNAcentral's name for it is "partial 16S ribosomal RNA". It matches the Rfam family "Bacterial small subunit ribosomal RNA", at positions 355 to 776 of the family's 1533-position model. The record is from RNAcentral.